UUACUCACCGUAUAUCAGUUCAUAUAAGGCGAGUAGCGAAAAACAAGAUGGCGGUCCAAAAACUACAUGAGUUUUGCGAAGCAGAAAAAAGGAAAAUGUUCGCUUUGAGAAAGAUAAUAGUACAAGGAAAACUCUCAAAAAAAUUUGACAGGUUAGCAAAAUACAUUUAUUACAUAGAAAUUAGUUUAAAGACAAGUUUUUUAAAGAAUUAAUACCGAAACAACAG
This 226-nucleotide long non-coding RNA is filed under the name Paramuricea clavata. The record is from RNAcentral. Lineage: Eukaryota; Metazoa; Cnidaria; Anthozoa; Malacalcyonacea; Plexauridae.